UGACCCUGUAUAGGAGGUCCCGCCUGCCCCGUGACUUAGAGUUUAACGGCCGCGGUAUUUUAACCGUGCGAAGGUAGCGCAAUCAAUUGUCUCUUAAAUAGAGACCUGUAUGAAUGGCAUUACGAGGGUUUGACUGUCUCUUUUUUCCAGUCAAUGAAAUUGAUCUGCCCGUGCAGAAGCGGGCAUAACACCACAAGACGAGAAGACCCUAUGGAGCUUUAAACGCCAACCAAUCACGAAAAGCAACCGGUAGAACCGGGCUCUUAUCCAGCGUGGCCAUGGCACAAGCGUUUUCGGUUGGGGCGACCAUGGGGGAUAACAAAGCCCCCGAUGAGGAGUGGGACAACAGUCCUAAAACCAAGAGCUACAGCUCUAAGUCUCAGAAUAUUUGACCGACAAGUGAUCCGGCUCCCUGCCGAUCAACGGACCAAGUUACCCUAGGGAUAACAGCGCAAUCCUCUCCCAGAGUUCAUAUCGACGAGGGGGUUUACGACCUCGAUGUUGGAUCAGGACAUCCUAAUGGCGCAGCCGCUAUUAAGGG
Molecule: ribosomal RNA, 541 nt
Filed under: Escualosa thoracata (white sardine)
Lineage: Eukaryota; Metazoa; Chordata; Actinopteri; Clupeiformes; Clupeidae
Description: partial 16S ribosomal RNA
Rfam family: Bacterial large subunit ribosomal RNA
Source: RNAcentral